Molecule: transfer RNA, 73 nt
Filed under: Deefgea sp. CFH1-16
Lineage: Bacteria; Pseudomonadati; Pseudomonadota; Betaproteobacteria; Neisseriales; Chitinibacteraceae
Description: tRNA-Leu
Source: RNAcentral
GGGCUUAAUGGCGGGCGGACUACAUGGACUCAUAAUCCUUUGGUCCACGGUUCAAGUCCGUGAAGGCCCACCA